GCCCUCAUCGUCUAGCGGUCUAGGACACUGGCCUUUCAAGCCGGCGGCCGGGGUUCAAAUCCCCGUGGGGGCGCCA
This 76-nucleotide transfer RNA is filed under the name Kosmotogaceae bacterium. RNAcentral describes it as "tRNA-Glu". It matches the Rfam family "tRNA". Rfam says of the family: Transfer RNA (tRNA) molecules are approximately 80 nucleotides in length. Their secondary structure includes four short double-helical elements and three loops (D, anti-codon, and T loops). Further hydrogen bonds mediate the characteristic L-shaped molecular structure. tRNAs have two regions of fundamental functional importance: the anti-codon, which is responsible for specific mRNA codon recognition, and the 3' end, to which the tRNAs corresponding amino acid is attached (by aminoacyl-tRNA synthetases). tRNAs cope with the degeneracy of the genetic code in two manners: having more than one tRNA (with a specific anti-codon) for a particular amino acid; and 'wobble' base-pairing, i.e. permitting non-standard base-pairing at the 3rd anti-codon position. Lineage: Bacteria; Thermotogati; Thermotogota; Thermotogae; Kosmotogales; Kosmotogaceae. The record is from RNAcentral.